GGGGUUGUAAUGAACAGUUAAUUUGAGUACAUCUAGCUCUCAUACUCAGCACUGGAUUCUUCAAUGGGAGAUGUAGGGGCAUCCAACCUUGUAAGAACUUCAGGCACUCCAGCAGUAUCCCGAAUUAUAAUUAUCUCCUCGUCAAGAUAAGAAAUCAUAAAGAACCUCUGGAAAGAACCAGGUAGGGGAACUUUUAACCCACUGGAAACAGCAUCCCUGAUGGGAACAGGAAGCUGUUGCACGGUGCUAACAGCCUGGUCCAGUGCACCUUUUAGCUGUUCUGGUACGGUUUCUUCAAUGAUUUUUGGUGUCUCAAGAAUUCCUUCAACAUAUUCCUCUCUCAUUCUAAGAGGUCCCUCCACAGACAACCUGGUGGACAGAAUAAAUUUGCUUUCUAUCGAAGACAGUAGUUUCAUACUUGCAGUAAUCUUUGCAUUUGAAUCCUUAAUCAGCACAUCCAUCUUUGAUAAAUUGGCCAAAUUCGAAGGAAAUCUCUCCAAUAU
This 503-nucleotide unclassified non-coding RNA is filed under the name Hevea brasiliensis (rubber tree). The record is from RNAcentral. Lineage: Eukaryota; Viridiplantae; Streptophyta; Magnoliopsida; Malpighiales; Euphorbiaceae.